Molecule: long non-coding RNA, 2335 nt
Organism: Dreissena polymorpha
Lineage: Eukaryota; Metazoa; Mollusca; Bivalvia; Myida; Dreissenidae
Exons: 2
Source: RefSeq, a predicted model, not a curated record
AUGUUUAUUAUUAUCCCCCGCCCUAGGCAGAGGGAUAUUGUUUUGGCGUUGUCUGUCCGUCCUUCCAUCCUUCCGUCUGUCCGUCUUUCCAUCCGUCCGUAGCCAUAUCCUGGAAGUGCUUUGGCAGAUUUCAUUGAAACCUGGUUCGAGUAUAUAUAUGGAUAAGAGGAUGAUGCACGCCAAAUGGAAUUGUACACCAUCUGUUAAAAACGGGGUUAUGGCCCUUUGUAUCUUUAAAAAAUGCUUGUUUGAGUGUCAAAUAUAAUACUUAUGUGUCCAGAAGCAUAUUGGCGGGGGAUAUCAAUUCAACGUAUUUGCUUGUAAAUAAAAAAUUAAACCAAUGGAAUUGGUUUUUAGGUAUCUGAGUGUGCAUUUUCAUACCAAUAGAAUUACACAUCAUUCUAAUUAUAGCAAUAAUAAAUUUGUACUAAUCAUACCAACAAAUUAAGUUAUGCUUAGUGCUUUGCGAUGUAUUCACUUUGUUUUUAGUUCUCUUUCUAAAGACCAUUUAACACCUUAAUAUUUAAAACAAUUCAUGAAUUACGUUCCCUAUACAUUUUCAUUAUGUGCUUUAAUUACCAUUGACCAGUUGAUGGAAGAAUACUGCAGAGUUUGGCAGGGAAAUAAUCCAACAGCAAAGCGGCUCAUUAAGCGCAUUUACCUAGAGGACUUACAGGGCCACAAAUUCAUGAGCACAUGUGAGCAGUAUACAAUUGUACCUCAUACCAAAAAGGACCCGGAGGCAGUGACUGGUGUUCAAUAUUCUCAGAAGAAAAGGAAAAUGGCAGUGGAAGACUUGGACAAACAUUUUUAAAAACUAGCCUCUGUGUUAAGCCUUGCAGUCUGUGGCUGUUGACAUGUUUUAUUUUGGUAAAUUCUUGUAUAAAAAAGACCAGUUAUUUAUUUUGUGAAUUGUAUUUUGUGUUUGUUUUUUGUCUUAAUUUAUUUGUUUUUUUUUAAUUUAGGAAUUUGAAACUUGGAUAAUUGAAUAAAGUCCAUGUUCAACAGUACUGAGCAUAGUAUAAUAAAUAACAAAUUUACAACAGUUGUUUAUUUGUUAUGUAUUAUUAUUAACUAUGCUCAGUACUUGAAAACUGGCUGUCUGCAUGGGAAUUUGUUUUCUAGAAAGUUGGUUUCAGACUUAAAUAUUUGAAGCUAACCUUCGGAACUUUUCUAGAAUUGCACUGGAACACAUCAACUAGAACUGAACUUCUGUUAUCAUACUGAAAGUGUUCUAGAAUUAAUAAGGAACAGUUGUUGAAAGUUAAAAUUUAUGUGAAAAAACUUUAGAACAAUUGUGCGUGAUGUGUGUGUGCAUGUAAUUGUGUGUGUUUAUGAACAUACACUUCAAAACCGUUAUUUCGAAGUCGUCGGGACCGUUAAAAAAACUUCGGAUUAACUAUAAUUCGAAAUAAACAUUUGACAGAAGACUUCUUUGAUUCUGUGAAAAUAAAACGUUGUGGAAGUCGCAUGGUUCGGUUACACGCUUUCUUAAAAGCGUAAACAAGUCAUAUAGCAAUAGAUUUCCACUUGUAACAAACGGAGGAAUAAAAAGAUCCUUUUUCUUGUUUUUAUUUUUGUCUUAAUUACAGAACAUAUAAAAUAUAACGAAUAGCACAAAUUAUCAGACAUACAAACAUAUGAAUACAUUUUCGGAAAUGAAUUAACUUUUUUUAACUAAUACGCAAUGUCUCUCUGAACACCAGCUUUCGCACAGACGACAAAGGUGUAAUUAUUGGCUUUUGACGUGCCACGACAAGGUGUGAAAAUACGCUCAGUAUUUUGCAGUUUUGACUUCGGAUUAAAGAUUGAUAAUAAGGUGGGAAUUAUAGUGUUGGGACCGACUGAAUCACUUCGAAAUAACGAUUUCUUCGGUUUAACGAAGUUCGGAUUAACAAUGAAAUUUUAUAUUAAACAAAGAAGAACCAAAAUCGGGACCCGAAAAAUACUUCGAAAUAACGGUGACUUCGGAUUAUCGGUGUUCGAAAUAACGGUGUUGAAGUGUAUGUGAGAAAGGAAGUAUACUUGUAAUAAGAGAAAUGUAAAAUUCUACUUUUAUGUUUUAUAUUGUGCCUUUUAUAAGUUUUUCUUUUCUCACCUGUAUAUGCCGUCAUGUUUAUGGAUGUGUUUUUGAAUGUGUGCAUGCAUGCCUGUGGUUAAGAGAGUUGGUACUUUAUGAAAAUGUAAAACCACUCAUUUUUGAAUAUGUACUGUGACUGCAUGUGUGUGGUAAAUGAUUGAUGCCAGAUCUUGUUCUUGUUUAACUUCUAUGAUGAAACCUUUAGUUACAUUCACAUUUGUUUUUCAAAAUCGAUAAAAUGCCUUUGAUCUAUAA